AGAAUCAACGCUGGCGGCGUGCCUCAGACAUGCAAGUCGAACGCGAAAGUCCCCUUCGGGGGCGAGUAGAGUGGCGCACGGGUGAGUAACACGUAGGUAAUCUACCUUCGGAUGGGGAAUAACAACCGGAAACGGUUGCUAAUACCGCAUAAUGCAGCGGCACCUAAUGGUGACAGUUGUUAAAGCGGGGGAUCGAAAGACCUCGCGUCUGAAGAGGAGCCUGCGGCGGAUUAGCUAGUUGGUAAGGUAACGGCUUACCAAGGCUACGAUCCGUA
Molecule: ribosomal RNA, 275 nt
Filed under: uncultured soil bacterium
Lineage: Bacteria
Description: partial 16S ribosomal RNA
Rfam family: Bacterial small subunit ribosomal RNA
Source: RNAcentral